GGAUUCAAGGGAAAGAAACCAUGGUCUUCUUCCAAGAUUUAAAGCAGAGAUUUGAAUUGGGAAGUGCCACUGUUUUCUGGGCUAUAUUGGAAUAAUUCCUCUGCUACUGGCUGUAGGGAUUAUUGCUUACAAAUACAGGCCUAACAACUCAUUUGAGAUCACUCAAAGUGCAGGAUGACCAAAUGGGUCUUUAAAAGCAGUAUAGAAUCAACUGAGUGCCUACUCAGUAUAACAGCAUUAGACUCAAAGCAGGGUUGCAGACGAUAGCACAGUUUGCCUGAGCUUUCCAUUCAUACAUCUGGUUUCCUUUUGAAAAAGGCCCUCAAACCUCAUAAAACUCCAGCCUUUUGAAUCAAACCACAAAUUCCUUAUAGCUAACCUCAGCAAAACUCCUCGCACAUUCUGUAUACUUACUUCCACUAGCUCUCAAUCCUCUUCUAUUUUUCCAUCUCCACUAAGUUAGUCAGAGCCAAACUUGCAAGAAUAAAUCAUGGUUUUUCCUUCUCAAUUCACUUCAUAUUAAUAAAAAUUAUGGUCAUUUUCCUGUUUUCGACCUUUGAUGUACUAUAGCUACCAUUGAUUGAGCUCCAGUUAUGUGCCAAGUGCUUUUACAUAGUAUCCUGUUCAAUUCUACAGCAACCUUGCAAGAUAGGUGGUAUUUUUCCAGCCUUUCCAAAGAAGAAAGAGUAAUAAAGAGAAGGCAUUGUUUCAUUGUCUUACUCUUGCUGAGUAGUAAACCUAGUAAUUCAAAUUCAGUCAUUAUUAACUGCAAUGCCUUCACUUCUAAUUCCUGUCUCUAUGCAUGGCAGAUUCAUGAAAAUUAGUUUUCAAACAUAAUUUUAUAUUUAAACAGCCCCUCAUUUCCCCAAGUAAUUACUAUCUUGAUUACUUCAUGAGAAUGACAAUUGUUACUGCUCUCAGUAGCAGCUACUGUUAUGUUGAAUAUUUUAUAUACCCUGGACCUUAUAAUCAUUCUCAAGGCAAAUGUUAUUAUAUCCAUUCUAUAGAUUUAUAAAAUUAGAUGCAAAUUUGUAUGACCUGAUCAAGAUCACAUGGUAACUGAUUAUUUGAAACUGCGUGUGUAAUAACACAAAUCCAAUUGUGUACAUACUGAAUCUUUGAAAUACUGCGGUUAACUCAUUCAGUCCCCCAGCAAACUUACAAGAAGGACAAUAUCACCAUUUGCCUUGCACACGGGAAGAAACUGAAGUUCAGACAAAUGGAUUGAUCAUUCAAGGCCACACAGCUGGCCAGUUCGAGAGGUAAGGUGUGAAUCAGCAUGCUCUGGGUUCUGACCCUGUGCUGGGAACCAUUGCACUGUGCUGACUGCUAUGAGACUGCAGUCUCUGCUCUGGAUAGAUAUCUAUGUGAAUGGUUUUAAAACUGGAUUAUUAUCUGCAGCUUUUAAUUCUUUGAUGAACCCAUUGUGGGGAAGGACAGGACUUAAUGCAUGCAGUGUCUAUGGUGAUCAGUUAUGGAAGUAGAUUUUUACUUAUGUCUGAGAAUUUUGACUGAAUUUUAGUCUCAUGCAAGAGUGACCUACAAGAAUUAUACAGCUGUGUGAAAGCUGGAGCUUGACUUGGCAGAAAGCAGCAUCAUGGACUGUGGUGGUUCCCCUUCCAUCAAGAUUUAGCUAAAUAAUGAGCAAAUCAUUCUGGAAUCUUCUGGGAUGCUGGACAAGACAGGAGAAAAUAUCACAAGAUAGAACUCAACACCUGAAGGACUCUGCAAUGACAAGAUCAACUCUUGGUCUAUCUACAGCAUAUUUGAUUCUCUGAACUUUUUGCAAUAUCUCUCCAACUAUAGGGAUAGAUAUAUACUCUAGCUUAAAGUGCAAUCCUCCUCUUGGAAAAUUUUUGAAGCUCACAUGUUUUAUUUACUGAUAACUGCCAGAUAUAAAUUCACAUUUAGGUUUCUUUUAAUACAGGUUAUUUGUUCAAGUUGCUUUCCAGUUAAGAUUCUUAAUUUUCUCAAAAAUUCAAAUAAAAUUUAUACCCAAUAUUUAUUAUUGAUUUUGAGUAAAGCCAGAACAGCUUUUCAUAUCAAUAUUUAAAAUACAUGUUCCUGCCAAAAAAUUAUGGGAAGGUGCCCUCUAGCAAUGCAGAGACUAAGAGAAGAGAAACGUGGAGGGAAUCAAUAUUUAUGAUCACUUAUGCACUGACAGUCAUUGAAGUACUGUGUAUGCACGUCUCAUGUAAUAGGCACUCAUUAUUAAUAAUUCUCACUUUACAGGUAAAGAAGCAAACCUAAACCUGUGAGUGAGACAGCAUAGGUCACAUAACUAGAAUAUGUAUGAGCUAGAGUUUGAAAACCAAUCUGUCUAAUUUUAAAAUGCCUUGUCUCUUGUCUCUUACCCAACCAUUCUGCUGCCUCUUAGGAUACAGUAAAGAUAAGUCUAGGAAGACAAUAAAGUUUGGGGGUCAGGAAAUGCUCGUUCCUACAAGGGACAAACGAAAUGCAAACCAUGAAGUUCAAUCACAUUUUGGACACAGUGCAUAGAAAAUGGGCUGUCCAUAUUUUAAGAUACUGGUGAACUUUAUUUCCUUUAUCUGGGUUGGAAGUAAGCUAUUGACGGAAGAAGUCAUUAAUUUUAGUAAGAAAAUAUGUCAUAUACCAUAAUUUUGUGUGCCAUUCAUGCAUUAAUUUAUUGAAAAUUCUCUCAUAUAGAUUUGUCAUGGUUUAUGUUGGUGGCCCCCAGGCCUCAUAAAUUUGCAUUGUGCAUUUGUGAUUGGCUCAUUGUCUAGCGCUUGGAUUGGGGGUGUGAGUGCUACACUGGCCUAGGGGUGGAGUCAAGAUGUAAUGUAAUGGCAAGAAGGUGUAUCUCACUCUUUUGCCCCCAGUUUCUGCCUUGCUGUUUGCAGCCGCCAUGAACUGCGGCCCAGCCAUGCCACCCCGCCUUGGAGCCAACUGAGUAUGGACUGAAACCUACAUAAACUGUAAGAAAUAAACCUUUCCUUUCCCAA
Long non-coding RNA from Cavia porcellus (domestic guinea pig), 2963 nucleotides. RefSeq lists it as uncharacterized. The transcript is spliced from 2 exons. Lineage: Eukaryota; Metazoa; Chordata; Mammalia; Rodentia; Caviidae. The record is from RefSeq and is a predicted model, not a curated record.